GGGGCUGUAGCUAAGUGGUAGAGCAUUUGCCUAACAUGCAUGAGAACAUGGGUUCAAUCCCCAGUACUG
RNAcentral lists this transfer RNA (69 nucleotides) under Ictidomys tridecemlineatus (thirteen-lined ground squirrel). RNAcentral's name for it is "Spermophilus tridecemlineatus (thirteen-lined ground squirrel) tRNA". It matches the Rfam family "tRNA". From Rfam's summary of the family: Transfer RNA (tRNA) molecules are approximately 80 nucleotides in length. Their secondary structure includes four short double-helical elements and three loops (D, anti-codon, and T loops). Lineage: Eukaryota; Metazoa; Chordata; Mammalia; Rodentia; Sciuridae. The record is from Rfam by way of RNAcentral.